RNAcentral lists this ribosomal RNA (251 nucleotides) under uncultured prokaryote. Its description in RNAcentral is "partial 16S rRNA". It matches the Rfam family "Archaeal small subunit ribosomal RNA", at positions 475 to 726 of the family's 1478-position model. The record is from RNAcentral.
ACCGGCAGCUAAAGUGGUAGCCGCUAUUAUUGGGCCUAAAGCGUUCGUAGCCGGAUAAGUAAGUCUUUGGUUAAAUCCCGCAACUUAACUGUGGGAAAUCCAGGGAUAAUGCUCGACUUGAGACCGGGAGAGGUUAGGGGUACCUCUAGGGGAGGGGUGAAAUCCUAUAAUCCUGGGAGGACCACCUGUGGCGAAGGCGUCUAACUGGAACGGAUCUGACGGUGAGGAACGAAAGCUAGGGGAGCGAGCUG